Long non-coding RNA from Uranotaenia lowii, 331 nucleotides. RefSeq lists it as uncharacterized. NCBI's taxonomy places the organism in Eukaryota, Metazoa, Arthropoda, Insecta, Diptera, Culicidae. The transcript is spliced from 2 exons. The record is from RefSeq and is a predicted model, not a curated record.
UUUACUGUCUCAGUUGAACAACAAUCGUAAAAAGUUCUAAAAUGAAAUUUCUCAACGCAGUCGCUGUCGCCAUUUUUGUUCUGAUUGCCGUCGCUGAACCGGACCCAAGAGUAGUACAUCGGUAUGGAAAGUAAAAUUUAACAACAUUUUACGGUCAUCCCAGAAUCGCAACAGAUCAUCAGGACUUCAGGUAAAACUACCAACGGAUGUUGCCUCGUGAAGACUUGUGUAACGUGAAUAGUAAUUUUUCAACAAAGUGAAUUAAACAUGAAAAAUUGAUCUGAGUUGUUUCUAAGUUUCUGUUAAAUAAAUUCAUGGAUCGAUAGAAAAA